RNAcentral lists this ribosomal RNA (328 nucleotides) under uncultured bacterium. Its description in RNAcentral is "bacterial SSU rRNA". It matches the Rfam family "Bacterial small subunit ribosomal RNA", at positions 28 to 334 of the family's 1533-position model. The record is from RNAcentral.
GAUGAACGCUGGCGGCGUGCUUAACACAUGCAAGUCGAGCGAAGCGCGAUUGCGGAUUUCUUCGGAUUGAAGCAACUGUGAACUGAGCGGGCGUAGGGCAAGGUACGCCUAGGUAACGUGCGUCAUACAGGGGAUAACAGUUGGAACGGCUGCUAAUACCGUCAUAAGCGCACAGUACCGCAAUAGGGUACCGUGUGAAAAACUCCGGUGGUUAUGAGAUGGGACCCUGUCUGAUUAGCUAGUUGGUGGGGUAACGGCCUACCAAGGCGACGAUCAGUAGCCGACCUGAGAGGGUGACCGGCCACAUUGGGACUGAGACACGGCCCAA